CCUACGGGAGGCUGCAGUGGGGAAUAUUGGACAAUGGGGGGAACCCUGAUCCAGCCAUGCCGCGUGUGUGAAGAAGGCCCUCGGGUUGUAAAGCACUUUCAGUGAGGAAGAACGCCUGGUGGUUAAUACCCAUCAGGAAAGACAUCACUCACAGAAGAAGCACCGGCUAACUCCGUGCCAGCAGCCGCGGUAAUACGGAGGGUGCGAGCGUUAAUCGGAAUUACUGGGCGUAAAGCGCGCGUAGGUGGCUUGAUAAGCCGGUUGUGAAAGCCCCGGGCUCAACCUGGGAACGGCAUCCGGAACUGUCAAGCUAGAGUGCAGGAGUGGAAGGUAGAAUUCCCGGUGUAGCGGUGAAAUGCGUAGAGAUCGGGAGGAAUACCAGUGGCGAAGGCGGCCUUCUGGACUGACACUGACACUGAGGUGCGAAAGCGUGGGUAGCAAACAGGAUUAGAUACCCCAGUAGUC
This 465-nucleotide ribosomal RNA is filed under the name Vreelandella stevensii. RNAcentral's name for it is "partial 16S ribosomal RNA". It matches the Rfam family "Bacterial small subunit ribosomal RNA", at positions 338 to 795 of the family's 1533-position model. Lineage: Bacteria; Pseudomonadati; Pseudomonadota; Gammaproteobacteria; Oceanospirillales; Halomonadaceae. The record is from RNAcentral.